This is a small nucleolar RNA of Sorex araneus (European shrew), 214 nucleotides long. RefSeq annotates it as small nucleolar RNA U3. NCBI's taxonomy places the organism in Eukaryota, Metazoa, Chordata, Mammalia, Eulipotyphla, Soricidae. The record is from RefSeq and is a predicted model, not a curated record. The transcript has a single exon.
AAGACUAUACUCUCAGGGAUCAUAUCUAUAGUUCCUUAUUAGAGAACUUUCUUUGAUCAUAUAGAGCACUCAAAACCAUGAGAAGGAGCCAGAGCAUCCUCUCCUGAGUGUUAAGCAGAUUCUAGGUGAUGCUUUUGCAAUUGUCUUUUACCAUUGAUGAUGAUUCUUCUCUUCCUUCAGAACCGUGAGAGGGAGAAGACGCAGUCUAAAUUGU